ACUAACAUUAAUAAAAGAGAAAAAAAAAAAUCAUUUCAUUAGAGGAUUGAUGAGACGCUGAAAUGUAUAUAAAAAUAAAAAUAAAUGUUUUGAUGUUCAAUACACAGUCCAAAUACUCACUAUAGGAGAAUGAAUAAGCAUUGUGAUUCAUUUCUCUCCACUUGAUUUCAGUAACCAUGAGCUUAUUUCUGGCUGCUCUUUAAAUACUGCAUUAUUAAUUGCUGUGGGUUCAAGGACUAUGCCUUUUUUGUACACAAAUAAAGUAAGUCUUAAAACGACCACACAGAGGUUAAAGCAGCCCAAAAGGGCUUUAAACAAAGCCCUAAAAGCCAUUUAAUCAAAUAUUUUUUUUUAUUACCAGAAAGCAGACUGUUUCUGAGUUUGCAGUGUGUCACAAAUAAACAUGUUGAACAAACCAGACAAAUAAAAUCAACUUCUUUCAUAUUACAUUUUCUUUAAUGUGCACAGCAUUAUGUGAAUUUACAGUAAAAGCAAGGAAAGAGAAUUUGAGUUUUCCUAUAAAAAUAUGAAUAAAAAUACGAUCUCAUCUACGGAGGCAGACUCUUUAAGCAAACGCGUCGCAAUAGAUACUAAGACAGCAGGUAGACAAAGAGGUGACCGAAUCAAAGCAGGUAGACAAAAGGUGAGAGAAGUGAGCUUAAUAUCAUUACAAAAUACUAUAAACCCCACAUAAGCAGCAGCCUCUGAUGCUGGAAAUGUUAGUUUGCUGCCAGUCCUUGCCAGUGUGUGUGUGUGUGUGUGUGUGUGUGUGUGUGUGUGUCUGACAGUGAAUAAACAGAAAAGCAGACAGUUUUGUUUACGGGACGAAACUCCAAACCAAAUGAUUUCACUUCGUUCUGCAGAAACAGCAUUUAAAAAAAAAAUGCAAAAAACAAGUUCUUCAUCUUCAAAGACGGCAAAUAAAGUUUAAGUAUAUGUUAAGGCUGUGAUAAUGUGCUUAAAAAGUUCAAUCUUCACGACCUGCUGGAAGACCUCGCUAGGUUGUUAUCCUAUAGUUGCUAGCUUCAUGUGACGUCUCUCUGGAAGUUGUAAAGACAUUCUCUGCCACUCAAAAAACUGUUGCCAUGAUGGCCAGUUCGAAGUGUUACAUGUCAGAGCCAGGAACAGUCUCAUUGUUAGUAUAUGCUGAGCUGGCAAAGGGUUCAGUGAGGGCACCUCUUUUGCCCGUGUUUGGGCCGUCCACAAUAUUCAGUGGCAACAUGCAGUGUGACGGGCAGUCUUGACAUCAGCAGGGCCACGCCUAUUUUUUUAUUCGUUCAGUUUCCCCCGAGGCCGUUCCCA
This is a long non-coding RNA of Sinocyclocheilus anshuiensis, 1302 nucleotides long. RefSeq lists it as uncharacterized. The record is from RefSeq and is a predicted model, not a curated record. NCBI's taxonomy places the organism in Eukaryota, Metazoa, Chordata, Actinopteri, Cypriniformes, Cyprinidae. The transcript is spliced from 2 exons.